This 12912-nucleotide long non-coding RNA is filed under the name Heterocephalus glaber (naked mole-rat). RNAcentral describes it as "lncRNA (ENSHGLG00100048441.1)". Lineage: Eukaryota; Metazoa; Chordata; Mammalia; Rodentia; Bathyergidae. The record is from RNAcentral.
GGAGGCUGAGCCCAGAAAAGCGCCCAGCGCCCUUGCGGGCCCACUGGGCCCUGAGCUCGCCCUGUCGCCGGGUCAUUUUCACGACCCGUUACUUUGGGAGCGGAGCGGUGCUGCCCCCGUAGCUCCUGUCCACUGCGACCAAGGGUGCCGCUGGGACACAGCGUUUGGAGAAGGCCUUGUGGCCCGUGACUGAGGAUAGCAGGAGGUGGAGGCGUUUGUUGUAUGGCUUUAGUGCAGGGACAGGGACACUGUCGGGAAGCGGGGAUGCGUUUGGCCGAAUUGUGGGCAAGUUUCUUAAAUGGAAGCCAGAGGGCAAGAAGUCAGUCCCGAGUAUCCACGGAUCGCUCUCUUCCUCCUGGUAACUCACUAAUGGGACAAGUUUCUUGGCCAGUGAGGCUAGGAUCUUAAGUCUUGAGUCCCGAAUGGAAAGCGAACCACUUUUGUAUCCACAGCUUCCUACUCUCCUGUUCUUUUGUUUGCCCUGUUUGGGGCAGGUGGUACCUGUCAUUGUGUAGAUGCGAAAUAGAUGUUUGUGGAAUGAAUGACCGAGCAACUCCACCGCGAUGUGCAGACAUACACCAGGGUCCUCCUUUACUUUGUCUCUCCUCCGUGCUUGUCUUCAACUCCAGUACUUUUUGAUCUGAAGAUGGUUUCCUAGGGAUUCUUUCCCGGUCACAUGGUCUCCCCUACCCCAUCAGCAGCUUGUAGAUUUGGAACCUGUCCCUGAUGAUCCAUUUCCCACCUGAAGCCCCUCCUAGGUAGAAAAUUCCUAGGACUGGUCCUGGGUUGUCUUGAUCAGUGCUCUGGGUUCCAUUUCCCUCACUGAGCACCUGCUCAGGGACGGAGAAAGAACCAGGGGGCCCAGGAAGAAUAAAAGGUGAGUCUGGUUGGUACUACCCUUCUUCCAGAAGCUGGGGCCCUCAAGCUGCCUCUGGCCCCCAUUGCUGAAUCCACGGUGUAGGUAGCUGGUGUAGCUCAGUCUCUGUGGCCCAGCCCUCCCCUGUCCAGUUCUCUGCCUGGCCUGGCUUGCUGGAAGACUGUGGAAAUUGUCCUGCUGUCCAGUGACCCACGCCAUCCAGUCACUCUCUCUUUUAUAGAAAACUAUAAAAAGGCACAAAAGGCAGGAAAACAUCCAGUUCCCACGGUAAUGCUGCAAUUGGGCAUAUUCCCCAGUGGUGAAAUCCUGCAACACGUGUAACUAUGUUUCCUGCUCACUUUUUUCCUGAAUUGUCUUUGGAGGUUUCCCUAGUAUAAUGCGUCUGUACUACUCUCUUCCACUGCAGGGAUUGAAGCAUAAUUUGUUUGAUAAUUCCCCUGUCAUUGGGCACCAAGUUAUUUUCAAACAUUUACCCUUAGAAGUACAUAAUGCAUUAGUAAACGUUCUUCUAUACAUAAGGAUUUGUCCAUGACAUUCUGCGGAAAAUCCCCAGAGAUAGCCAACUUUGCUCUAAGUCAAGGUCUGUCUAAAAAAGUCCAAGGAAUACCUUGGUGGACAUCGCUGAGAUGGGCUUGCAGUGAAGGACCCCAUUCAUCCACCCCACAGUCCUGCGUGUUGGAGAGGGGGUGCAGGCCAAGGACAAAUGGUCACUGAGUGAAUCUAGGGUUUGGUUCUGUUUUCUUUCUCCAGCACUGAAGAGUUGAGUGACACUGUUAUAAUCACAGUCUGUCUUCAGAAUCAUGACAUUAAUUGAUUUAGUAAUAGCAUAGAUUGAGGUUUAUUAGGCAACUCAAUUAAAAAUGCUUCUUUUCUUAAAAAUUAACUUGAUUUUGGGCCGUGGAUUUAGCUCAGUGGUUCCGCUGCCUCGCAAGCACAAGGUCCCGAGUUCAAUCCCUGGUACCCCCCCCCCCCCAAAUUAAUUGAUUUUGAUAUAAAUCCAGAUUUACAGGGAAGUUGCAGAAACAGUACCUAGCAUCCCUCAGGGUCCUCAACCCAGCCUUCCCACCAUUACAUAGGAUACAUCCAUGGUGCAGCAGUAAGGCCCAGGAUUUGGACAUGGAUGCAGUACUUAUGACUCAUCCGUAGGCUGAUUCAGAGUCCUUCAGUGGUCCCACUAAUGUCCCUUCUGACCCACGAUCGAAACCUGGAUCCUACAAGGCCGUUUUGUAAAAUUGGGAGCCAAGAGAGGCCCAGCAAGUCGCCUGUAUUCUGAGGCUGACUCGGCCCCUCCUGAAUCGUAGCUGUGAAGGCUGCAGAGAGCCCUGGGGCCAGGAGUGGGGGGACCCUGACUGUUAAGUGGGAGGCCCAUCUCUGUGUGCCCCUUCCUUGGGCCCAGACCUCCACCAGGAAUGUAUGGUUGAGUAAAAAUUGGUUUAUUACUAAUCUGUCCCAACAUGUCUCUAGGGGGCCGGUAGAUGGAUGACAUCCGGUGUGCGUGAGAGCAGCCACUGAGCAACUGACUUCGUGGUUGACAAGUACAGGGUGCAGUGCCUGUGCGGGUGACUCACUCCCCAGGAGUGGCAGGCAUGUCAGGUGCUCAGUGUGCAAGCCCAGCCGAGGCCACAUUUCCUGGUCACCUGGGCAGGACUGAAGGACAAGGCUCCUGCUCUUGCCUCUACGUGGGUUAAGAGGAUCUAAGAGGAUCGUCAGGUCAUCUCGGAUGAGGAAGUGACUCCCCUCUUCUUUAAGGGAUUUGUUUCCUCUGAGGAGUGAGGGAAUUGGGGUGGGGACAGCCAGCCUAAAGAGAUUUGGGGAUGCACCCGGUGUGACAGAGGGUGGUGCCGGGAUUUUGCUUGAGAGAGUGCUUGUGAGCAGCUGCGGAAACCCAAGAAAGACUAAUUCUCAGACAGCUGAAGUCUAAAUUGAGCCCCUUUCCCAUGAAGCUUACUCAACCCCAGACCAUAUUUCUCCUCAGGAAGCCUUCCUGGCCUACUCACAGCUGCUGUACACAAAGAGACCACAGGAGUCUCCGACCUUCGGCUCACGAACAGAUUCAGGCUGUCUGGGGCAUUCCCGUGCUUUCCCGUGUAGAAGAGUGGCCCGCAUAGGCUGUAGGCGACAUCUGUUUCCAGUGAAGAAGUUUUGAUCUUGCUUAAAUCUCCACAGCACAUGCUUCUGUUGUCCAGGUGGUGUCUGUGACUUUCAGGCCCUGGUUACUCAAGACUUGGAUUUGUCUUUCCCCAUCUGAGCACUUCCAACUUGCCCACUGCAGCUUUAUAACUUUGAAGUGGAAAAACACGCAUUUCUCUCGCUCUCUCCUCUUACCGCACAGGCAUUUUCUGUAGCCAGCAGGCUUCGUGAGGAUCAUAACAGGAAGCAGGAGCAGAGCUGGAGAUGUUGUGACUAAACACUUCUGGUCUGGGCUGCAGUCUACACCUGCCCUCUCCCUCUCUCAGGGACUCCUUUGGUCCGUCCCCUCCCGGAUGCCAGAGUGCUUCCCGCGUGGAUGGACCUGUUACUCUGAAACUGCUCCCCUGUCCCACAGUGUGCCUUCAGAUUGUAACUUGGAAGCCUUCCUAACUCACCCGUGCCUGGUCUGUCCUUCCACUUUGCAUUUCUGUGGUUUGUUGGUACUGGUAUUUACACGGACAUCUUGAAAUCAGGUAUCAUUUAUCUUUGGUUAAGGUGGAAGUAGCUUCAUUUGGGUGAAUAAUAAAGGAACUGCAUUUCUAGUCCAUCAUAAUCAGUCAGAUCUGCUGUCUUUCCCCUUGAGAUUUUGAGGUCCCUGGGUGCUUGGAAGACACCCCUGAGUGGUGCCUUGGCUGGUGUGCCCAGCAGACCACUACUGCUUCUGUUUCUAGCCACCAUCUUUCUAGAUGAUGUCACUGUCAUCGUGGAACAGGUGGGGUCCUCCAUUCAAAUUGAGCACCACCUCAGCCAAUAGACACAGGCAGCUCGCUGCAUAGAAGGACAGGAAUGAUCUUGCACGCGUUUCUUCCUUUCAACUGUGCCGUUGGCUAAGGAUGCCCCAUCAGAAAUCACUUGGGCUCCCUUGCUUUACAGACUAAUUUUGCACCUGAAAAAAAAAGUCUAUACAAAACCAAUCUUGGUCGAUUACGUGAUCUCCAGAAGGCCUGGAAGAAUCGUGCAACCUGGCAGAAUGCUGAAGUAGCAGGUUUCUGUCCAAGAAUGCUUUCUGUAGCAUGAAUCAUCACCUCCUCCCAUAUUUGGUUUGUUGGUACAGGUUUUUGCACAGGAGUCUUGAAACCAGGUGCGCUUUUGUGUGUGCCUGUGUGUGGUUCAACAGAAGUGGCAGUGUUUGAGCUGGCGUUUGAAAGGUGUUCACUAGGGUCUCAUUUGAAUAGCUCCCAGAUCUAUUUCUUUUGCCUAAAAAGCACACCCUUGACUCAAUUCAUUUUAGUAACUUCCUUUGCUUUCACCAGACUGACAAACCCACCUAGGACAGGCCUGUAGGGACCACCCCUGUCUGCCCAUCAAUUUUGUGCAGUGAUUGAUUAGCGAUUUCAGGGCACGCUUUUUGAGCAAGCCCAUGGAGUAUUUUCUCUCUCUAAUUAUAGAUGAAUUUCCAAUCCCUUGCCUGUCUUAGUUUCACAAAUUUUGACGCUUGCUUCUGUUGGUGUCAGUGAACCCCCUUUGAUUCACGUGCGUGUGGUCCCUGGUGGUCUUUGGGGCCGGGCGGAAGCCAACUUGAAGAUGUGGCAGCCUCUUUGGGUGGAGAGAUCUGCUGUGCUUUGUGCCUAGAAAUUGAGGUGUCUGAGAUGCUGGCCUUUGGGGACAACUUCUUCACAGUGUGAGUGAAACCCUCAGGAGCUUUAAGCGACAACGAUCGUUUCUGCAAUUGUGUCUUCAUCACUUAACCUGAUUAAAAAAUGUAAACCUCUCUUGUUGUGAUAAAAUAUACACCUCAACUUUGCCAUGUUAAUCAUUUUUAAGCAUCCGGUUCUGGCAGCAUUAAGUACACUCACAUUGUUGUGUAACCAUCCUCCUCGUCCGUCUCCAGAACCCUUUCAUCUUCCAAAUUGAAACUGCCUUCAUAAAACACUAACUCCCAACCUCGCCUCCCCCAGCCCCAGCACCUGCACUUCUACUUUCUGUCUCUGUGAAUCCGACUGUUCUAGGGAACUCAUGCAAGUGGAAUCACGCAGGAGUUGUCUUUCUGUGUCUUAUUUUACUUAGCGGAACGUACUCGACGUUCAUCCAUAGUGCAGCAUGUCAGAAUUUCUUUCCUUUGUAAGCUGAAUAUUAUCCCAUCAUGUGUAUAUAUUACAUUUUGUUUAUCCGUUCAUCCGUUGGGCAUUUGGAUGGCUUCCACCUUUUGCCCAUUGUGAAUAAUGUUAUGAAUGUAGGUGUGUAAAUAUCUGUUCAAAUCCCUGCUUUCAGUGCCGUUGGGUAUAACAUCAGAGGUGGAAUUGCUGGAUCAUAUGGUAAUUCUGUGUUUGAUGUUUUUGAAGGACCACCAAACUGUCCUUUCCAGCAGCUAUACCACGUUAUAUUCCUGCCAGUAGUGCACAAAACUUCCAAUUUCUUGCCAAUAUUUACCCCCCACCUCCACCCCACUGCUUCCCUCCUUUCCUUCCUUCUGCCCUGAUGGGGGUGAGGUGCUUUUAGCUUUGAGGAGGCAGUCUCCACUGAGAAUUCAGUGCCCAGGGAACCAAGGAGUAUCGGAGUUUAUGUGGGCACGGUUACUCUUUUAAAAUUAAGAAAUCAGGUGACCUAACAUGUCCCUGAGGUCUUGAUUACAUAAACUGGAGUUUAUCCAGUGCUUUUGUGCCCAUAUGCUAUCUGAUGUCACUCUCAACCAGGUGAAGUAGUCAGGGGUCUUCCCCGCUUUACAGAGGAAGACAUCGAGGUGCAGGUGAGUGAAGCCAGGUGUACAGACAGCAGCCGUGGGGAGCUUCCCUGAGGACCCUAACUCCUAGCCUGGGAAACACUGUGAAAAGUAGUAUUUCUGUAAGCAUUGCCGUGGGAAAAUGAAGCAGGGAGGAUGGAGACUGUCUUCCUCAUUUGAAAGAACUCUAGGGUGAGGGCCGGGGAUUUAGCUCUGUGGUUCUGACACCUGCCUCGAAAGCACAAGGUCCUGAGUUCAAUCCCAGGUACCAAAAGAAGAAGAAGAAGAAGAAAAAAAAAGAACUCUAGGGUGAAUCCUUUCUGUCCACUCGUCCUGCAGGGACAAAUUUCCGUGUGUGAACUUUGCUGAGAGUCAGUAACUUGUUUUUGUUUUUUUGUUAGAGAACCCUUUUCUGCUCAGUCAAAUGGCUUAAGGAAUGCCCCUUUGAGCCCAGAGGUGGAUGUCAGAUUUCUUUGGUCCUGGCUGGGGUAAGGUGACUGCCUCCUUUCUCGAGGUUUCUGGCUGAGGCUCAGUCGGUUCUGGGGUGCACCUGGCUGUCCCGUGUCCAUUCUCGGGGUGGACUGGACCUUCCGUAGGUUUUCUUGUCCCGGGCGCAGAUUGUGUUUGGGUUUGCGUGGUUCUUAUGCCUCUUUACACUUCCCCACUUGUGGUGAGAGGAAAGUGGACUCGAGCCCUGGGAACCCCAUAAAUCUGGCUCCUUUCCAUCUUUAUUUGUUCAUCAUAUUUCUUUGUAUCUUAAAAAUGAAGCAGGAAAAAGCAAAGCCAUUGCUCCAGCGCUUGGGGUUAUAGAAUGGGUUCACUCAGUGAGUUUUUCUUGUCUCUGGAGGAAAGGGAUGCCUCCCGGGACCCCAUCCCGUGGUGACCUCUGUCUGUGACCCCUCCUCCUUUGGCUUCAGACUUGUUUAGGGGUCCCUGAGUUCUGUCAAGGGAGAUUUUUCAGAAUCUCAGGGAAUUUGUGGUCACUGGUAAGCCAGCUGGGCAAUUCAGGUGUUUGGGUUUUAAUUAAAUUUCUAAGUGGAAACCAGGAAUGUGGUUAACCAGAGCUGAGACAGUCCUGCCUCCUCAUUCCACACUGACCACUGGGUUGUUCAGCCUUUCUGGGGAUGGCUUUCCUGGCCAUUUUCAGUGUCCUCUCUUAUCCUGCUGCUCCCCGGCCCCCACUGUUUUGAUAGGACCAGCUCGUUUUCCCUUUGACAAGCUCUUUCUCUAAGCUUUUCUCAUCUACAGGCAUCUGUGUGGCUGCCUUCCCAGUGCACCAGUCAGAGUGGCCACUGGUGGCCUCCCUCAUCCCUGAAGUCAUGACCCAGUCCAAGUCCUUCUCCCUAUCCCUUUAGGAAGGGCCAGUGACCAGCCUCUCCAUGCAGUGGAGUUCUACAGGGAAGGAGAGAGAGCUAACUUUUGGUGCUUCCAGAAUUUUCAUUCCCCUCAAUUUUCACCACCUGGAAUGUUAUCAUUGUCAUCUCCUGCAUGGAAGGCUUGGAGGCCUCAGGAAAAUCCUGAAUGUCUCACAGCAUUGCAGAUGGUUUAAGAUGGCAGCCUGUCCCACACUGGUCACCUCAUUUUGUAUGACUGGACAUGUCACUGGCCUCUCUGGGCUCAGAUCCCCAUCUGUGAAAGGAAGUGCAUCUAGGCUGGUGGUUUUUAGUGGCAAGUUGCAGAGACACCAGCUGGUACCAUUUUAAACAAGUGAGUGUUUUGGUUGUUCAUCUGAGUGAGAAGUCUAGGGGUUGUGCUACUGGUAGGAAGUUGUGUUUUCUUUCCAGUUAUUUUCAUCCUCUCCUCUUCUGUACACAGCCUCAUCUUAAGUUUGCAGACAGAGCAGCAGUGUUUGUGUGCAGGCCUCCUGCCUCUACAGAACUUUGGUGCUAGCAUUCCUGCCAGCUGGCCUCAGGGCCACACCCAGUCCAAGAGAUGGGGUGCUUUCAUUGGCUCCUCUGUGGUCACAUGCUUCAUACCUGGGAUUGUGGGUGGAGAUGGUUUCCCUCCCCAGAGCCACUAGGAUUCUGAAAAUGGAAACUAGGGCCGGAGGAAGCAGAGAUAGAUGGAGGAAGGUGCUACCACCACGACCACGUACCAUGUGUCAAGAUGCCAUGUUUUCUAUGAAUUAAUUGGACUACAAGACGAUCCACCAGAAUGUUUGCUUUGGGGACAGGGACCUAGUUGUGUUCAUUUUUGUGUACUUGGUAUUUGGGAUUGUGCCAGGGCAUGCCAAUUCUCAAUAAAAGCUCAUGCAUGAAUGAACCUUGACAGUACCUUCCCCUUCUAACUGUCUGAACCUGAGAGUAUGUUUUUGCAUGGAAACCUCAGCUUGCCUCAUCAGGGAGCUGGCAUUUUGGCUCUUAAGCUACAAAAUCCAGCUUUGCAGUUGAUUGGCCGUGACUGGAUUCUUGUUCAUUUGCACAAAAGAUUUGUCACUGGAAUAGCAACUUGAUGCUUGGAGCAGCAUCUUACCUGGGAUUUCUUCAAAGAAAGGCAAAUGCAUUCUCUUAAUUUUGUUGUUCAACUGGUAUGAAAAGCCCAGUGACAGGAACUGGGGGUAACAGGCUUGUACAGACUUCUUGCUGGGCUCCUGUAUUUGACAGUCCAGUGGAAUGCUGAGAACCCAGGGAGGCCAAACCCGGACUUCUCCAAGCCCAACCACACAAGUGGACUUAUUUAGGCAGCUCUUCUGUGUUCACACAUCCAUGUGCCAACUGGGAAGGAAAUCUUCUGGGUGCUCCAUGUGAGAGAGACGGCUUUGAUCUUCAGACUGCUGAGCUGAAGGUGGGGGACCCAAUAUUACUUGCUUUGUCCAUGGACUACACAGGUAGGCUUUGUUUGAGCAGCAGUGACUCAGGCUCAUGGGCUGUGUGAAGCCACGUUGCUCUGGCAGGUGCUACCAGCUGUCAUCUUUUGCCAUCGUUGGGAAAAAAAGUGUCAAUGUCGUAGUGUUGGGUGGUUUCUCCCAAACUUGAGUAGGAAUAGCCUUUUUAGUGAGUGAAAGGAAAGGAGAGGGGUGAUCUUCAUGCAUUAAAGGGGGCAGAUGCCUCAGGAAGAGUGCUGGCCCCUACCCUUGGUAUUGCCCCAAUUUCCAGAUGAGAAAGCUGAGGUUCUCAGAGGUUUUUGUCACUUGUCCAAAGUCACCCUUCUGGUCAGUGGCAAGGCCAGAACUUGAUGUGCUCACAAGUUGGCCCAUGACUGCAUCCAUCUAACUACUAUCUGCAAGCUGGGGUCCUGUCUCCUUGGGAAAGUGCUAGAAGCCACCAGUCAAAUGAAUUUCAUCUUGUUUCUGUCCUUUGCCUCCUUCUCCCAAUAAACCACCGACAGCUUUAAAAUAGCAUCUGCCCUCUCCAGGUAGAGGUGAAACGCACACCCCCGUAGAGCUAGAAACUGACUUCUUUCCGCCCUGCGGACCAGACGAUGUAGUCAGUGUUACUUAGUACCAAAACUAAUUAAAAUGCUCAUUUAUGGCAGUCUCACCCAUGAGAAACCCUCAUUCACAGCGUCUUAGGUUCUGGGCUUUCCCCCUAGCUCUACUUCUGUUUGCUACCUUUUGCUCACUAAGGUUUGAAGUCUGGUUUGGAGAGCUAUCCAUAAUUGCAUAUCAUUGCAUCUGAAUCCAGGUGUAGAUGCAGGGCUGUUUGUCUUCAAAAGCACCACAGCACUGUCCUGACCGUUCUCUUGGAGAGGCACAGUCCCACAACCUACAUCAGCAUCACAGUAUCCCUUCCUGGAAUACCAUGAAGGUUGCUGAAGCCAGAGCUCACUUAGUUGAAUUCCUGUCACAUUUUACAUCUCCUGUGAUUCCUGGCAUUUAGAAUGACAAUUCUAGGGGUGAGAGGGAUGUCCCGGCAUCCUCCACAAAGGAGGCUUGUGAGGUUUGGGGCGCACACAUCAGUGGGACUGCAGAGCAGACUGGACCUGUCAUCAAGGUGUUCAGUGGAAGUGUUGGGUUAGGGAUUCUAAUUCUCAGUCGACUGGGACGCUACUUUUUACUCCUCGCCUUCAAGUUGAGCUUUCAGAGCGACUCCACUGCUAGGCUCGCUCUUCGGAUGGUAUGUCUGGAUUUGGGGGGAGCUGCCCCAUGCUGGCCCAACAUCACCUUUGGAUAGGACAGGGCCCUGUGAGAAAUUUCGCCCCAGUGAGCUGUGCUUCUACAGAUGCCACAGGCUGUGUCUUCUGCACAAAGAACCUUUUAGCUGACAGAACUAGAAGGGCAGCGAAUGGAGCUCCUGCAUGGCCUUGUGAUGGGGUGGGAGGGAAGGCCUCAUGCACUGAACUGGGUAGACUGAGUCUUACAUUCUCCUUUCACCUACUUUUUCUUUCCCCUUUAGACCCUAUGCAGUGCUAAAAGCAUGGCUCCGGGGCUGUAUCUGCUUGGCCUUGAGUUGCGUCUGUGCUCUGGUGAUGCCGGAUUGAAUCAGGAAGAAGUUUCCUUUUUCUAGCCAGGAGGUGCAAUUCCCUUUUGGCUUUUUUCUUGGAACUAUAGACUUUGGGCCACCGCAGUUUCCUAUGGGCUUAAGUGAGAUGACUUAGGAGCAGACGGUGUGCACACUUUGAUGUGGAAGGCAAAUUUGAUGAAUUGCCAGCCCAGGACUCUGUUGGCUCCAUGGGCAGGCAGGAAAGAGGUGUGGGAGCGGAGGCCUGGCGAGCCUUCUAGCUCUCCCAUCCUCGGAUCUGGAAUGAGCUUGUCUCAGCCUGUUUUACCCGGUGUCUUGAUAGCUUUUCUUUCCCUCCUGGGUUGCAUCCUCCUCUCUCCUUUCCUUCCUCUCCCAGUCCACAGUCAAUGCACUAACAUUGGAGGUGACACUGAAUCCAGUAUUCUUGCCCAGGUUGUAUUUCAGUAAACUUGCCAAUGGGUUGCCUGGGGGCUAACUCUAGUUUUGCAAAGUUUUCUUCUUUACCUAGUAUUUCUCUUCCUUGAACUUGUGUAGUAUAUGCUGCCAUAGUUGUAUCCCAUGCCUGGGUCUUUUUUUCCUUCACAGUAAUCAUAAGUGUGCAUUGUCUGGUUUCAUAGCAGCCGGCCUGCUCCCCAGUAAAGCCUUAAUAUAAACAGGGAGACUUGGCAGGUGGAUGGCCCACACUGCUCUGCCCUUUGGCGGGUGUGUGCCUGCGGUUACACAGGGAGCCGAGUCACCGGGCUCCAACUCUGAAAGCCAAACAAGCUCCACGCUAACAGCAGUUAUGCGUCUUGCUUUCUGAGGGUCUUAUUGGUUUUUGCUUCGGGUGGUCUUGAGAAUCACACUGCUCUAUCCCCUGUGCCUGUUUUUGUCUUUUUUUUUUUUUUUUUUUAUCCACAGAGCCUUUUUAUUUUCCCCCACAUCAUACCCUUGUAAUUUGCCCUGUGGCUUUGGACACACCACACUGUCCCUUGGAGCCUCAGUUUCCCUUUCAGAUACCUUGGGAUGAGUUGAGCCCUCGGUUAGUUUUAGCAUGGAGGGGUCCCCUUGUUUCCCUCGCUGUUCCCUGCAGAUGGUCAGGAGGAAAAGGCAGUGAAGGAGAAACACUGGGUUGUCCUCGCUGGACAAACUGCUUUUGGCUGUUCUGUAGCACCCUGGGCUUCUCGGAGAAGUACUUUACUCGGUCAAACAUAAGAAAGUAAAAAUAGAAAGCAGUCUUGCUGGGCGAUCUUUAUAAAACAUCAGCUGUGGCAGUUUGGGAUGUCUUUUGUUAUGGUGACCUUGUACCAAAAUAAGCAAAUCAGAAGCAUAAGUGACUCUUCCCCUGAGGUUUGGGAGAGGGUCAAAGCUUAUUUCAGGCUUCCCUGAGGGGAGCAUCCUGUUUACCCCUUCCCAGGGUGAGUGUGGACUCAAACUGCCUCAGAGCUCUGGUCAAAGGCCCCCUCUUUCGGGAAGAAUGAGGUUCUUUUUAGCGUGUGGGUCCUGCUAGGUUCCCAUCCUGGAUUGGGAAGCAGACAGACACUGUGGGGCACACACUGGUGGUGAGCGGGAUGGAGGAGAAUUCCGCUCAGUGGCUGCCUGUGGGCCGCCCCUCACUUGCUCCUGAGGCACAGUGACGCCUUGUUACAGCCCAGAUUGUCCUGGGAAUGAGAAGUCCUGUGCUCCCCCUCCUCCUUCCAGCCCAACCUCCCUCCCCUCCCCUUACAGAAAAAAAAAUUCCUUCCCCCUUUCAGCAUCCGUGUCUUUAAGAAUUCCCUCCAUUGUAGCCCUGGACAGAGACCCUUCUGUAAGUGCGCUGGAGGCCUGUCCUGGGGACACCCCGCCCCCCCUAUUAAAAGACCAUCGGAACAAGCUCACCAUUCUCCUCUGGAGAGGGUCCCUCUGUCCCAGGCCAAGGGACUCUUAAGGGAACGUUUAUCCUGGGACACUCAGUUUACAAAGACUGCUGCAGUGUCAGAUAAACUCACUCAGCCCUGUGGGGAGGGGUGGGUUGGGAGGAGGACAAAACCCCCUUUAUUCCCACCCCUGCGGGGAGACCAAUAAAGACUUUGUGCUGGAGAGCAGGGGUCUGAGCAAACAGAUGAAGGGGUCUGUGUUGGCAUUGAUGUGUGAGAGCAUUAUGGGCUAUUAUCUUAUCGUUUGAGUUUUGGGGGGAAGUCUUGGCCUGGGUGGCUGAUGGCGAGGUCCAGUCAGGUAAAGUGAUCCUAGAUUCCCUGCUCCUGCCUCUUGGGCAAGUCGGUUGCGGUUUGCAAUCCCUAGGUGGUUUUUUCUACUAUUUGGAUAGGGCAAAUACCAAUUCAGUGGACCAGGCUCCAGCCGUGUGUGUUGUAGAAGAUUCGUGGUCUCAGCAUCAUGGGAUAAAUUUGGCCGUGUGUGUGUGUGUGUGUGUGUGUGUGCACGCGCAUGUGUCCAUCCCACCUGCGAUGUAUGUGCCUGUUUCGUGUGUGACACCAUCUAGUGUGGUUUUGACCACACAUAGCAUAGAGGUUUCACUCAGUUGUGUAAAACCGGUCAUUUGUGAGAGAAGAGCAUGACGGAUAUUUGUAGAACACUUACUAAGCACUGUGAGUUGUAUCAGCAUCUCAUUUAAUCUCAGGGUUUUGUUGAGGAGAUAGAUCUUUUCUUGAGGAGAUUGAUCUUCCAGACCAGCAGUGCAAAGCUCAGAGAGGGAAAGUGACUUGCCUAAUGUGACCCAGCAAUCCUUGAGGAUCCAGCUCUGCUGCAUCGAUCUCUGUCUGCUGCAGACUGGAGGCUGGGCUUAGCCAGGGCCCAGGGCAGCUGUAAGG